UGGGGAAUAUUGGGCAAUGGGCGCAAGCCUGACCCAGCGACGCCGCGUGCGGGAUGACGCCUUUCGGGGUGUAAACCGCUGUCACCGGGGACGAACCUGCCUGGUUCGAAUAGGUCCAGGCACUGACGGUACCCGGAGAGGAAGCACCGGCUAACUCUGUGCCAGCAGCCGCGGUAAGACAGAGGGUGCGAGCGUUGUUCGGAAUUACUGGGCGUAAAGCGCGCGCAGGCGGCUUUGCAAGUCGGGAGUGAAAUACCGGGGCUCAACCCCGGCACGGCUUCCGAAACUGCAUGGCUAGGGACCGGUAGAGGCUGGUGGAAUUCCCGGUGUAGCGGUGGAAUGCGUAGAGAUCGGGAAGAACACCCGUGGCGAAGGCGGCCAGCUGGGCCGGGUCCGACGCUGAGGCGCGAAAGCGUGGGGAGCAAACAGG
RNAcentral lists this ribosomal RNA (430 nucleotides) under uncultured bacterium. RNAcentral's name for it is "bacterial SSU rRNA". It matches the Rfam family "Bacterial small subunit ribosomal RNA", at positions 355 to 776 of the family's 1533-position model. The record is from RNAcentral.